AGGGUUUUAGUCUAAGAGUAUGAUUGAAAUUUUAGGUAUUUCAGGUUAGAAGUGGGUCUUCUAUUACCCUU
This 71-nucleotide transfer RNA is filed under the name Rhabdopleura compacta. Its description in RNAcentral is "transfer RNA-Leu(CUN)". The record is from RNAcentral. Lineage: Eukaryota; Metazoa; Hemichordata; Pterobranchia; Rhabdopleurida; Rhabdopleuridae.